GGGGGGAAGGCGGCGACGGCAGAGGAUGGAAGACUAAUGGCAAACGGCAGAGGGCGGCAGUGGUCGGCAGAGGUAGGCAGCAAUGGCGGAAGGCGGGGACGGGAGUCGGCAAUGAACGGCACAGGUCGGCGGUGGUCGGCAAGAUUAGCGAUGAAAGGCCACAAAGAGGAGGCAGAAGUGGGCAAUGACGGUUGUUGGAGGGUGGCUGGUGGUGGAGAAGACAAGGGGCAGGCCGCAGCGGCAGAAGGGAGGUGAUGACGGUGACGAAGGCAGGUGAUGUGGUAUCGGCGGUGCCGGGAGUGGAAAUUGGUGGCGAUAGAAGAAAGAAGGGAGGGAGAAGGGUACUCCAGACCGGGAGUGGCGGGGUCCUCCGACCAACCCAAGCUGGGGUGACGGGAUCUCACGAUCAAGUAAGGAAGAAACUCUCCAUCUAAUUCACUGUCAAACUAGAGGUUUGAGGGCCGAUUUAUAAGCCUCUCUACAUGAAAUAAUAGAAGUUAGUUGUAAAGGAAACCUUCUAUUGUGGGGCGUUUCUUCUAAUGGUAUGGGUGAACGGCAGCUGGAUCAAGGGUAACGUCCGCACCUUCCUCAAUAUUCCCUCCUUCAAUUUAAUUGAAUCCUUCUUUAUUUGAAGGGCUAUUAAGAUGUGAUUCAUUGAGGGCGUUAUUCUCGUCUGUCAUUUUCUUGGAAUCACCUUCCUUCGUUGAUGGGCUCUUGACGUGUGCUGCAUCACAUGGUCUCCACACGGCUGUCUGGACAGAGACACUUUGAUAAUAACAAAUGUAACUUAAGCAGUAGGAAGUCCCCAAUAUGGUGUAAAUGUCAAUAGAUCAUGAAGGCCACCCCAGGGUCGCUGCAUAUCAAGGAUGUAUCAGAAUUUGCUAGGGUUAUAUAACCUGAAGCUCGGUUUUCAUUAUGAUGACUGUAGGGAUGACCUGGUCAACUCAUUUUAGAGAGAGGUCUGUCCGGACCUCAUCUCCCCUUAAUCCAGUCCCAUCCUUUUGUGAAAAGGAUUCGACGGAGGCUCAGGGGAAUGAGAAAUACAGAAGCCAAGGGCAUGGGAAACCCUUUUCUCUCCUGUAUCUGAAAUCUAGACUUCAUCUUUACUCUUCCUCCUGGCGAGUCUAGUUAGAGCUUCAUGAACUCCAUUUACCUCCGUAUCGUGUUCCUCAUUGACUGUUCGAUAUUUUCUCUCUUUUGUGGUCGUGAGGCGUGCUUAUCCUCUUUAGACAACAUUAAAUUCGUGGUCUUUAUUCUAGUACAUCUGAUAUCCUCUCUUUCAUCUAUUAUAUUGUGAGCAUUCUCUAGUCAUGUUCUACGCCUCUGUUACGAUAUCAGACUUGUUAUGAAAUCCAUUACAUCUUAAAACUGGUCUCAUUCCCUAACAAUGAUGGCCCUUCAGUCUCGCUUUAGUCAGCUACCUUCCUACACACUUCCCCUCUUUCUUAAGUGGCCUCGUUCUUUCUUCAAGUCUGACACUUCAUCUCCUGCUCCAGUCCCUCUCGUGCUGCGCUCUCAUUUCCUCCAUCCUACGACAGGCAGAGAUCCCUUUCUUUAUCAGGUGCCCACCGCCCGUUUGGGAGGCUGGAUCAUACACACCCGAAAAUAGCCAAAAACGCAAACAAGAGUGGGAGCAUUCCUGGCGUGUCUUGAUUUACUCCGCGAAUCUGGCUAUUUCUCGCUUGAAAUUUCUCUCUUGUUCUCUCUCUUGUAUCAGGCUUGAAUUGUCAGGUCUCCUGGCAUUACACUUGGAAGACUUGUGUUCUCACUCCUGAGCUGCUUCUUGGGCCAACCAUAUAUAUGUGAUUGUUUGCCAUUCAUAUGUGCCUUUCUUGGAUGACCCUUUCCUAUGUUCCUUUUUCGGAAUAAUUACAGCACCCACAGUGAAGUUUCAACAUUUUCGAGAAGAUAAGACUUGAGGGCUAACAAUUGGGUAUCUAAUUCAACCACAUUCUAUUGUAGGAUAAAACAAGCAAUGGAUGGAGAUAGCAAUUGUGAACCGAAUUUUGGUUAUAAAGCAAUCUACACACAAAUAUCUCAAUCAAAGAUUAUUGAUGUUGGAGUCAUUUUUUUAUACCAAAAUAAUUGGGAAGUCUCUUGAACAGCAAGAGUUUGAAUCUUCUUAUAUCUUAUUAAAGUACUGGAGGUGUUUUCACAUACUCCUUAGGUUUUGAUUUUUCUAGUUGUGAUGGUCCAAUUGACCUAGUUUUGUGGAUCUUACAUGCAAAAAAAACUCUUCUACUAUAUCAAAGUAUACAAAUCAAGAAAAUAUUGAACAUUCAAAUUCAAAUCAGAUAUAAAAUGCAGAGCUUAGUAUGAUAAUACCUACGAAAAUAUAGAGCCACACCUAGUCAAGAUUUAAUGAAUAAUCCUCUAGCAAGAUUUGAGUUUGGCUCAUAUAAGGUGUCAAAUGCUAACCUCAACGUGGUACCAGAUAAAUUGAUGCUGUUAUUAAUAGAUUAAGGUUGAGUAUACUCAAGCUUUGUUUGCAUAUCAUUAGGGAACUUUUAUAACUGAAAUUGAACUAUGGAAUAGAUUGAUGAAGGGUUUGUAGAAUACUAGUUGAGCACAACAAUGACUAGUUUUGUCAAGUUUAUAAAAUGAUUAAUUGGAAAAGAGCACGAAACUUCAAUCAAAUAAAACAUGUAUAUAUAGAUGGAAAAAGUUAAUGAAAGGCAAGAUCAAGUUUACCCUUUUCUCCAUCACGUGCAUCUAAAGUCUUAAGAGCUUCUUAAUUUCCCAAGUUUCACUCAUUUUUAUAUAAGGAUUGCACACCAGCUUGGCAGUCUGUACCCCACAAAGGAAAACUUAAGAGUUAUAUCUUGUAUUAAUACUCAUGGUACUAUAUGUGUGACAGACUUUAUGGUUCUAUCAAAUCAGUUAUUGUCAACUAGUGACACUAUCUACGAAUUCUUUAAUGUAGAGCUAUUAACCAAACCAUUAUACAUGACACACUAGAAAAUCUGAAGUUGUGAAGUGUUUCUCUUUCUUGAAUAUGACGUAAUAAGUGCAUAAUGGUUGUGAACAACCAAAAGCACAUUUAUUUGGUUCAUAAGGCAGAAAUACAUAGUUGGGAAUCAAUUCUACACAAUAAUCCAAUUUUCUAAGUAGGGAAUUUAUAAGUUCAAUGUUUAUGGGUGAGAGGAAUAAGGAUUCAUUGCAAAUCUUUAUCUUCGCAGUAUUCUCAUUACUUUUCGUUCUCUCCAUGAAUACCAUGUGCUCUUUUGUUUGUUGAUUUUUUUCAGUAUUUUGAGAUUCCAACAUGGAGGCUGAUUUUCUCUUUCUUGAAUCGCUUCUUGAGCCAACUAAGAAGUGUUUCCCUUCAAAUUACUUCCCUUUUUAUCUUUGUAAUUUUUAGGCCCUGAUUUUCCCCAAGUUGUUUUACAACAAUGUCUAGAUCAAGAACACAUUGAACAUUUUCUUUGGAUGUAAAGAGAGAUUUCAAAGCAACUAGGUACUGUCUUAUGGUAAGAGAAGAGAUUAAUUUGGAAAGUAUAUUAAUGACUAAUGAACCAUAGGAUGACCAAAGCAGUCUAGAUGGGG
This 3543-nucleotide long non-coding RNA is filed under the name Spirodela polyrhiza (greater duckweed). RNAcentral's name for it is "long non-coding RNA (SPOL_LNC002418)". The record is from RNAcentral. Lineage: Eukaryota; Viridiplantae; Streptophyta; Magnoliopsida; Alismatales; Araceae.